AGUAGUGUAACAGAGAAGUGACAAUACAGAGCUACAAGGAGACUGAGAGACUCAGGGAGGAGCUGAGCUGUUACUGAACUAUAGAAGAGAGAGGAACUUCUAUAUUCAACAGAGAUCAAUACACAAACCAUCAACAUUACCUUUAUUCAACAUGCUGUCACUGCAGCAUUGUGUGAUUUCUCUGAUGUUUCUUUCCAUUCUAACAGGUGUCAACUGUGAAGAACUCACUCCAGUCAAGAAAGAAGAAAAGAGUUUAGAAGGCAGCUCUGUUACUCUGUCCUACAGAUACUCCAAACAAGCUGAUACCAACGAUUAUUUCUUCUGGUAUCGACAAUAUCCAGGAAAACCACCAGAGUUCAUCAUAUUCAUCUCAGGAAUGAACUUUACAAAAAAAGCAGAGUCUCUGACAUUGGACACAAGGUUCUCUACUAAACUGUCUGAAGAAAAGCAUCGUGUGGAUCUGCAGAUCUCCUCUGCUGCAGUGACAGACUCUGCUCUGUACUACUGUGCUGUGAGGCCCACAGUGACAGCAAACCCACAGUCUCUGUACAAAAACACAAGCUGACACACUGACAAGCUGCUGGAAGA
Non-coding RNA from Sander lucioperca (pikeperch), 588 nucleotides. The record is from the annotation of a RefSeq genome assembly. NCBI's taxonomy places the organism in Eukaryota, Metazoa, Chordata, Actinopteri, Perciformes, Percidae.